This 3436-nucleotide long non-coding RNA is filed under the name Salmo salar (Atlantic salmon). Its description in RNAcentral is "lncRNA (ENSSSAG00000119856.1)". The record is from RNAcentral. Lineage: Eukaryota; Metazoa; Chordata; Actinopteri; Salmoniformes; Salmonidae.
CUACCGUUAUAAUCAAAGUGGUUUUCUUUCCAGAGAGUAGUUUUUUGGGUUGUUUUCCCUUUAAUAGUGGUGAAUGUCUGUCCUUAAGAAAUUGUAAUAACAGUGAUGUAAGGUUAAAGUUCCACUAUAUCUUAUGUUGUGAAGGAUAAUCUCAACGCUGAGGAAAAUAUGGUUUAGGGUUAGGCUAUUUACCUGUAGCUGCUGAAUACACUGCCAACUUUCAAACCCAAGGUCCCAUCUCAGCAUUGAAAAACCAUCCAUUGUGAUUGUGCUUUGCUCGAUUGAAAGACAUGCCAUUUCAUGAACCAUGCCAAUAAACCUAUUUGGGUCGCUCCACGAAAAGAGUGCCUUUUGCGUCACUUUGAUAUUUGAAGUAGAAAUUGUGCACCAAUAUUGCAUUUUAAAAGCCUGUUGUGUUAAAUUAAGUGCACUUUAAUAUACACUGAGUGUACAAAACAUUAAGAACACCUUCCUAAUAUUGAGUUGCACCCCCUCUCCCCUUUUGCCAUCAGAACUGCCUCAGUUUGUCGGGGCAUGGACUCCAGAGGGAUGCUGGCCCAUGUUGAUUCCAAUGCUUCCCACAUUUGUGUCAAGUUGGCUGGAUGUCCUUUGGGUGGUGGACCAUUCUUGAUACACACAGAAAACUGUUGAGCGUGAAAAACCCAGCAGAGUUGCAGUUCUUGACACAAACCGGUGCGCCUGGCACCUACUACCAUACCCCGUUUAAAGGCACUUAAAUAUUUUGUCUUACCCAUUCACCCUCUGAAUGGCAAUGAUACACAAUCCAUGUCUCAAUUGUCUCAAGGCUUAAAAAUCAUUAUUUAAUAACAUGUCUCCUCCCCUUCAUCUACACUGAUUGAAGUGGAUUUAACAAGUGACAUCAAUAAGGGAUCAUAUCUUUCACCUGUAUUAAGCUGGUCAGUCUGUCAUGGAAAGCGUUUUGUACACUAAUAUAAUUUUUAAUAUGAAUAAAAGCUUUCUAAAGUGCCCAAAAUCUGCAUUUUGACAUGUCCCGUGUCACUUCAAGGAAGAUUUUAACCCACUUAAUUGCAAAAUCUCUCCAAGUUUCACCAUCAUUGUAAAGCCGUAGUUAUUUUGUUGCUUUGACAAAGUUAUUUCUGGACAUUAUUUAUUUCAUGUGAUAAUGAUUAGUUUACAUCUGUCCCUCAUUUUAAGGUGAAACCAGUUACUUGAACUGAACUCUCGUUUUAAUAUGGUGAAACUAUUCCUUUUUAAAUAUAUAUUUUUUCAAAAUAAAUAUUGAACAUCUAAUGGUCAAAUCAUACAGUAAAAGCAGGUGAGCUGGUUCUACUCUUUUUGGCAAUUUUCUGGUGUUUUGUGGUGGAAAACUGAGUGAGUUGAACAUUAUACGUCAACCUUGUUACUCAUAGAUAGACAGGCUAGAAUUUUUUACUUUUUAAAAAAUGUGUGAAGCUUGCAUUCAAUUGCCACUUUCUGUUGCACACAACAAGCUUCCAUUCCCCCUGUCAAAGGGGGAUUUGUGGAUGAUUUGUUUUUUGUUUUAUUCCGAUUUUUCAGGGUUGCUGCAGCACCCUCAGCAGCCGUAUUUCCCACACUUCAUUUUUUUAUUUAACCUCUUGAGAUGAGAAAACUAGUUUAUGAAGUUGAACAUAUGCUCGUUAUGACAGAAUGUAAAAGUAGGUGGAAUCUAAAGUUUUUUUUACCAAGUUAAUACUUCUCAAAAGGCACCGAAUUGGUGGAACGACCCAUUUAUGGUUAAUUAAACGAUCCAUUGAUGGAUCACUCUCUGGUGAAAUUGUUCACACUUAUGAGUAAAUUAAGUUGCAAACAUUGUAAAUAGCAUAGCCUAAAUGUAAUCCUCAGUCAUGAUUAUGUAUAAGAUUAAUCAGUUUUAUAAAUUGGCACAGCAAAAUACCCUAUGUUUGAGGCCCAUCACUAGUAGGAAAUGAACAACCCUGAAAUCAUGAUCCCAUAAGAAGGGUGUAGUACUGGUGAGUGGCAGCAGCCAUUUUCUGUUUCACUGUUGUAUAUUUGCCUGUGUGUGCAUAUCAGACCAUGCAAGCAUGUAUGUCAUUGUCUGUUACAUGUGGCCUUGGCUUGCAUUAUACCCCAUCCCCACAGUGGUAAAGUGUCAGAGAAUUCAGCAGCUAAUACAUAGUAGAGACAAUGCAACAGAAUAGACUUGAUCUGACACUGCUGGAUUGCACACAUUUGUAUGAGAAGUUUGCUGUACAAAAGGAGUAUCUCUUUACAUUUGCUAUAUUUUGCCUUGUGUGUUUCUCCUCCACGCCUGUCUCCACCCCUUCAUUUGAUCCAUAGCAGUUGGCAAUAAGCCAAUAGUGAUCUAUGCAGUUUCCAACUCAUACUCUGCCCAGAUGCGGACCCUUAAAAAACGUCACUUAAAGGGUCCAAUCUACUAUGAAAUGUUAUUGCAUGUCCCAUAUAGUCAGGGAGCUGGAUAGCCAGUUGCACAUAAAAUUUUAUCAAUGUCUACCUUUUUGAACAAAUUAUUUUCCUCAGUCUUGAUCAAUUCAGAAUUAUUUUAGACAUGCAUAAGAAACACAGCAUAACUUAUUUAAUAUCCAUUUGAACACAUGUCAGGUUACAGAACAGCAAUAAUACCAUUACACUAUUCUAACAAGACUUUAGCAGUCUUUUUUUUCAUAGCUUCAUUACAAAUGACAUGCACACUUUAGCACUUGAUAGGAUAUCAGGGAAUUUUUCUAGCUUCACUCUUUAUAUGCACGGUUAGAAAAUAGCCUUAUCCCAAAGAAUUACUCAUGUUAUAAAUCAAGAAAAGCCUCACAUAGCUCCAAACUAACGCCACUACAGCUAAAGAAGCUGACAAACAUUACAGAACAUAAGAGACUGGUUAGUCUUUCCCACUCUGCCCUCCCCUGAAAUAAGAUUCACACAAGGAAUGUAUAGAGAACGUAAAGUGAUACACUUGCUCUUUUGGGCUAUGUGCUGUGUAAAAACCUGCACAACUAUUGAAUGUGAAAGAACAGGAUUAUAGGAGACAACAGAACUUUGUUGCAAGAACUUUCUUCACUUUGCUGUGCAAGAGUACACUGCUUUGCUGUAUGGCUUUUAUAAACAGAACUAUGUAUUUGGUAAUUGUUUGUAGUUAAUAGUUCACUUCAAGAAGCUGUUUGCGGUUUGGAUGCUCAAACCGUUUGGCGGCACAAGCUGGACUUUGUUGCCAUGAAUGAAACAAAAUCAAGAGAGAAUUUUAAGUUAAUCUGCAUUUUAUUUCCCUUGAAUGAUAAAGAUACCAUGCUAGAGAUUGUUGUAAAAAUGUGUGUUCUACAUUCACUAAAGUAAAACUAUUGGCUUCUACUGUCUAUUUUAGGUUCUCUCACUUAUUCUGUAAAUUAAGUGAACAACUUUCUUACCUAGAUUUUGUCCACCUGUGAUGUCCCAAACAAUAGAGACUGUCAGCUUUAUUAAACAC